UCUUUCAUCAUGUUAUUCCUCACCCUCACCCUUUCUCCUAUCAGAGAGUCUUCGGAAGGGAAACUAAUCUCCAACACCAAACUUAGCCGUCAACACAACAAACCGACAGCUAGGGUUUGAUGGCUGAUCGGAGUUUGACAGUUGUGAAGCCGGUAUGGAUGAAGCAAGCGGAGGAGGCGAAGCUGAAGACGGAGGCCGACAAAGCUGCGGCAGCCAAAGCCGCGUUUGAGGCCACAUUCAGGGAUUUGGAGAAGGCUCAUGAGAAGGGGGGGCCUGCUGUUCAAUCGGAUAGUGAUUCUGAUGAAUGGGAUGAGGAUUAUGCCAAGAAGAAGCCUAUUGGGCCGGUGGAUCCGGCGAAGUGUACUGCUGCGGGGACCGGGAUAGCCGGCGGGACGGCUUGUGCUCCGUCUUCGUUUUCGGUUGUGACUAAGGAUUCGGAUGAGAGGAAGGUUUCAAGUGGGGGUGCUUUGAUCAAGGUGAAAGUGACACCGGGAUUGGGGGUUGGUGGGUCGGAUCAAGAAGGGAUUGUCAAGGAUAUGGGUGAUGGAACGUAUACUGUUACGUAUGUGGUGCCAAAGAGAGGGAAUUAUAUGGUCAAUGUCGAAUGCAAUGGCAAGCCUAUCAUGGGUAGUCCAUUUCCUGUGUUUUUCAGUGCAGGUAAUAGUAAUGGAGGGCUGCUGGGUUUAGCUCCUGCAUCUUCAUUUCCAAAUCUGGUAAAUCAAACUAUGCCCAACAUGCCAAAUUACUCUGGGUCUGUUUCAGGGGCAUUCCCGGGACUAUUGGGAAUGAUUCCAGGGAUUAUUACCGGAGCUUCUGGCGGUGCUAUUUUACCAGGAAUUGGGGCCUCACUGGGGGAAGUUUGUCGUGAUUACCUAAAUGGGCGCUGUGCAAAAGUUGAUUGUAAGUUGAAUCACCCACCUCAUAAUUUGCUUAUGACUGCCUUAGCUGCAACAACUUCAAUGGGAACACUUAGCCAAGCUCCUAUGGCGCCUUCUGCUGCUGCGAUGGCCGCCGCUCAGGCAAUAGUUGCUGCCCAAGCCCUUCAAGCUCAUGCAGCUCAGGUGCAAGCUCAGUCAGCUAAAGAUUCCACUGGUUCACCUGAAAAAACUAAUAAAGAGGAUGCAUUGAAGAAAACCCUUCAAGUUAGCAAUCUAAGUCCCGUUCUCACUGUGGAACAGCUAAAACAACUCUUUGCUUUCUGUGGCACUGUUGUUGAUUGUACAAUCACUGAGUCAAAGCAUUUUGCAUAUAUAGAAUACUCGAAACCUAAAGAGGCAACUGCUGCUUUGGCAUUAAACAACAUUGAUGUUGGGGGGCGCCCUUUAAAUGUUGAAAUGGCAAAAUCACUUCCGCCGAAACCAUCUGUUGUGAAUUCUUCACAUGCUUCAUCCUCUCUUCCUUUAAUGAUGCAGCAAGCUGUUGCAAUGCAACAGCAGCAAUUCCAGCAAGCACUGCUUAUGCAACAAACUAUGACUGCACAGCAGGCUGCUAACCGAGCUGCAACCAUGAAAUCUGCCACAGACUUAGCAGCAGCACGAGCUGCAGAAAUAAGUAAGAAAUUGAAUCCUGAUGGACUUGUGAUUGAAGAAAAAGAGACAAAACAGAAAUCCAGAUCACCUUCUCCCCCUCGUGGAAGAUCUCAAUCAAAGUCGAGAUCUCCUAUCAAUUACAGGAGAAGGAGGAAGUCUCGUUCCUAUUCACCUGCUCCCCAUUUUAGGGAUCGGAGGUCCAGGUCACCAUUGAGGUUGCGCCAUCACUCGGGCUAUGAAAGGGGUCGGAGGUCCUUUAGAGACACCAGGGAACAUAGUGAUAGGUGGUAUAGAAGACGAGAUUCAGAUAGAUUUCUAGAUCAUCAUUCAUCUGCUUCAAGAAGACAUAGAAGUAGGAGUGCGAGCCCCUAUACACGGAAAUCAUCUGUUUCUCCGAAACGUCACAGGAAAAGUUCACCUCAUAGAGGAAGAAAACAGUCACGUGCUGAUUCUGGCUCUCCAAGUCAUCGCAGAGGAAGUAGGUCUUCUCCAAAGAUUGAUGAAAAAAAACUACGAAACAGAAGGGACUCGAGGUCUAGUUCUUCGGAUGAUAAGCCUAACUCCUUCAACAAAGAUGAAGAAAUCUUGCAGGAAAAGUCUAAACACAGAGAGAGAAAGCGGUCCAGGUCAGUAUCUGUGGAUGAGAAGCCUCAGAGAAGAAGCCGAUCAUCCCCAAGAAAAGUGGAUGAAAGCGGAUCCAGGCACAAGAAGCGGUCCAGGUCAAAAUCUGUGGAGGAUAAGCACAACUUCCCUGAGAAAUUGGAGGAAAACAGAAUCCGAAAGUCAAGGCAUAAUGACAAAAGGCACUCCAGAUCAAGAUCUACAGAAAGUAGGGAUCAAACUGAUGCUAGAGAGGAUGAAAGAAAAUAUGGAAAGUCAAAACAUCGUGAUAGUAAAAGGACCAGAUCCAAAUCUGUUGAAGGGAAGCAUCGUUCCAAAGAUAAAUCAGGUGAAGUAAAAGAUAAGAAAUCAAAGCAUCGUGAUAGAAGGCGUUCAAGGUCAGUAUCAUUAGAAGGUGAUCAUGACAUAGGAGGCACUUCAUCCCGUAAAAAUUUGGAUGAGAGCAAUUUUGAACGCAGACGAUUGAGGUCAGGCAGGCAUCAAUCCAGUGAUAAAUAUGGAAAUGGAGAUGUAAGAUCAGAACAUCAAGAGAAAAUCCUGUCUAAAUUGAAAUCAGAACAUCAUGAUGGGAGUGGGCCCUCUACAAGAAGUUCCAAGGAGUAUGAAUCAACUAGUAUAACAAAAUAUGACUCUGGAUCUGUAGAAGUUAAGCAUCAGUCAAGUGAUGGAGAAAAUGCUUCUAGUGUAGAGAAUUCAAAACAUCUUGAAGAUGCCAUACAGGAACCAAUUAUAAACAUGAAGGACUCAACAAACCUGAAUGAUAAUGGGAUGUUGAAUUCAGUGAAUGAGAACUACAAGUCAGAAAGGUCAACUGAAAAUGCAGGAGCUGAUGAAAAUCCAGGUUGGAAACGUGGGGAGGAAGUGGAAAAUGGGAAAUACUAAGAAAACUCUCCUUGGAGUGGGAAUCUAAAUGAUUUCAAAGUUUCUACCUGACAACCGACAAUCCUAACAAUUUAACCAUGAGUAUUCAUUUCUGUUUUUUUUUUUUAAUUUCAAAUCAGAAGUACUUUAGAGGAUAAUCGAACUUCGGUGCUUAUAAAUGCUGAUCAGAAAAUCUUGUCACCCAAGGCUGAUAGGAGUUCUUGUCAAUGAUCUUAUCACGAAAGCAUUGCGCAGGUCAUGGUUUUGUCUGCGUUUGAAGAUUCUUACACCGUCAAUGAUUGAGAUAAGAGCAUAUUCUAAUUAAGGACUAAGGAUUCUCAUUGAGGUUCCUGAACCAGUUCACUACAAGGAAUAGACUGUUUCCUCUUAGAAGCGUGAUUCUCGGAGGAUGUCUUUGACUGGGUUCUCGGAAUAUUCUCUGUUGGUUUAUGAACAUCUUCAAUUGUUUAUUUCUCUUUGCAGGUCGGGUUGGAAAAAGAUCAGAUGUAGAUUCCUACAGCUGUUGAUGUGGUUUAAGGUUUCAAGAAGUGUCCUGCUUUUGUCAUGAUCAACCAUGCAGCACUUGUAUCAUGCUGCUUUUACUGCUUGAUUGAUGUAUGUUGGAAUGUUAUUUUAAGUAUACUAUUCUUCUUAUUAAAGUCCCUCAGAUAUUGUCAUGGUGUGGAGGGAGAAACCCUUUUAGCCUGUGUCCUGAUGAUAUGCAUCUAAAACUUUUUUCUCUAAGGGUUAUUGACUUUGAAAUCUAUUGGAGCUUUGAGCUACAGUUUUCUUGGGUUGAUUUUCUCUUGUAUAAAUAAAGAAAUUGUCAUGGCUAGGUAAAGCUUCUAUAUAAGGUCAACUGAGAUCCUGGAUGUUGCUGCAAUGAGUUACGUCUUUGUUCCAUUUGAGCAAUUGGCUGACUUACAAUUUAUUCUUAAGUUAAUGCUGAAAUGCAAAUGAUUUCAACAGGUAAUUCUCUAUGAAACUAUUGAGUUGUUCCAUUAUUUGAGUAGGAUCUUCAGUUGUAUGUGUAGUUGUCUCUGUAUGAACUUGAAUCAUCUCAGCCUUGUCUGUGGUUAAUUUAGUUUUUACGUUUCCUUCUUAUUCACAUUGAUCAUAUUCCACUAAUUACAAUCAUAUGCAGAUUGACUGGUUUUCAGUGGUCAUCUCAAUGUUGUGUCAUGAGAUUUUUUGAUGAUUUGAUAUGAUGUCACGUAUAUUGUGGUUUUGAAAAUGAGGUUGUUUCUAAUUGGUGCUGGAAAACUUUUUGGUUUGUCCUUCCUUUUGAGGAAAUAUGGGAUUAUUUUUCUUGUGAUUGUGAAUUACACCUGAAAGUUUCCCUCCAUCUUUUUUUGGUUCUUUUUUCACUUCUGUUUCUGCUCUGCUUCUUCCCCCUCUCUCUCUUUUCUGGUUAGGUUAAGCAUUGGGUAUGAUGAUCUCAUGAGCAGCUGCAAAAUCUCUUCACCAGAUGAUUGUGUGAAGCUUGUUCUUAGAAGUUGUUUGUGUAUUAGUUUUCUUAUUUUUUAGGGUUAAAUUUUCUAAUGCUGUCUCUGCAUCACCUGGUCUAGUCACUGUUAGUUGCCUGUCAAUUUUAUGCCAAGUUGGCCACUUAGGGUAGAGGGCAUUAUGCUUUACCAUAGGUGUUUGUUCUUAGUGCUGCUUAGUAUAAUGAAAGAAAAGUAAAUUAUAUUUAUGAGGUGUGGGCUCAAAAUUGGGCACUACUUUUAGUCUA
Molecule: RNA transcript, 4743 nt
Organism: Lotus japonicus
Lineage: Eukaryota; Viridiplantae; Streptophyta; Magnoliopsida; Fabales; Fabaceae
Exons: 10
Source: RefSeq, a predicted model, not a curated record